This 538-nucleotide ribosomal RNA is filed under the name Bordetella bronchiseptica. RNAcentral's name for it is "bacterial SSU rRNA". It matches the Rfam family "Bacterial small subunit ribosomal RNA", at positions 38 to 536 of the family's 1533-position model. The record is from RNAcentral. Lineage: Bacteria; Pseudomonadati; Pseudomonadota; Betaproteobacteria; Burkholderiales; Alcaligenaceae.
AGAUUGAACGCUGGCGGGAUGCUUUACACAUGCAAGUCGGACGGCAGCACGGGCUUCGGCCUGGUGGCGAGUGGCGAACGGGUGAGUAAUGUAUCGGAACGUGCCCAGUAGCGGGGGAUAACUACGCGAAAGCGUGGCUAAUACCGCAUACGCCCUACGGGGGAAAGCGGGGGACCUUCGGGCCUCGCACUAUUGGAGCGGCCGAUAUCGGAUUAGCUAGUUGGUGGGGUAACGGCCUACCAAGGCGACGAUCCGUAGCUGGUUUGAGAGGACGACCAGCCACACUGGGACUGAGACACGGCCCAGACUCCUACGGGAGGCAGCAGUGGGGAAUUUUGGACAAUGGGGGCAACCCUGAUCCAGCCAUCCCGCGUGUGCGAUGAAGGCCUUCGGGUUGUAAAGCACUUUUGGCAGGAAAGAAACGGCACGGGCUAAUAUCCUGUGCAACUGACGGUACCUGCAGAAUAAGCACCGGCUAACUACGUGCCAGCAGCCGCGGUAAUACGUAGGGUUCGCCAAACCCCGCGAGGGGGGGAGC